Molecule: ribosomal RNA, 497 nt
Filed under: uncultured bacterium
Lineage: Bacteria
Description: partial 16S ribosomal RNA
Rfam family: Bacterial small subunit ribosomal RNA
Source: RNAcentral
GAUGAACGCUGGCGGCGUGCCUAAUACAUGCAAGUCGAGCGAACAGACGAGGAGCUUGCCCCUCUGACGUUAGCGGCGGACGGGUGAGUAACACGUGGCUAACCUACCUAUAAGACUGGGAUAACUUCGGGAAACCGGAGCUAAUACCGGAUAAUAUAUUGAACCGCAUGGUUCAAUAGUGAAAGACGGUUUUGCUGUCACUUAUAGAUGGAUCCGCGCCGCAUUAGCUAGUUGGUAAGGUAACGGCUUACCAAGGCAACGAUGCGUAGCCGACCUGAGAGGGUGAUCGGCCACACUGGAACUGAGACACGGUCCAGACUCCUACGGGAGGCAGCAGUAGGGAAUCUUCCGCAAUGGGCGAAAGCCUGACGGAGCAACGCCGCGUGAGUGAUGAAGGUCUUCGGAUCGUAAAACUCUGUUAUUAGGGAAGAACAAAUGUGUAAGUAACUAUGCACGUCUUGACGGUACCUAAUCAGAAAGCCACGGCUAACUACGUG